This 422-nucleotide ribosomal RNA is filed under the name uncultured bacterium. RNAcentral's name for it is "bacterial SSU rRNA". It matches the Rfam family "Bacterial small subunit ribosomal RNA", at positions 794 to 1213 of the family's 1533-position model. The record is from RNAcentral.
UCCACGCCCUAAACGAUGCACACUAGUUGUUGCUAUGCUAGACAUAGCAGUAAUGCAGUUAACACAUUAAGUGUGCCGCCUGGGGAGUACGGUCGCAAGAUUAAAACUCAAAGGAAUAGACGGGGACCCGCACAAGCGGUGGAGCAUGUGGUUUAAUUCGACGAUACGCGAAGAACCUUACCUGGUCUUGACAUAGUAAGAAGAUUUAAGAGAUUAGAUUGUGUCUGCUUGCAGAAACUUAUAUACAGGUGCUGCACGGCUGUCGUCAGCUCGUGUCGUGAGAUGUUGGGUUAAGUCCCGCAACGAGCGCAACCCUCGUGAUUAGUUGCUAACAGUUCGGCUGAGAACUCUAAUCAGACUGCCUACGCAAGUAGGAGGAAGGUGAGGACGACGUCAAGUCAUCAUGGCCCUUACGACCAGGG